RNAcentral lists this ribosomal RNA (432 nucleotides) under uncultured bacterium. RNAcentral describes it as "partial 16S ribosomal RNA". It matches the Rfam family "Bacterial small subunit ribosomal RNA", at positions 29 to 507 of the family's 1533-position model. The record is from RNAcentral.
ACGAACGCUGGCGGCAUGCCUCACACAUGCACGUCGAACGAGACCUUCGGGUCUAGUGGCGCACGGGUGCGUCACGCGUGGGAACCUGCCCUUAGGUUCGGAAUAACUCCCCGAAAGGGGUGCUAAUACCGGAUAAUGUCUUCGGACCAAAGAUUUAUCGCCUUUGGAUGGGCCCGCGUUGGAUUAGCUAGUUGGUAGGGUAAAAGCCUACCAAGGCGACGAUCCAUAGCUGGUCUGAGAGGAUGAUCAGCCACACUGGGACUGAGACACGGCCCAGACUCCUACGGGAGGCAGCAGUGGGGAAUAUUGGACAAUGGGCGAAAGCCUGAUCCAGCAAUGCCGCGUGAGUGAUGAAGGCCUUAGGGUUGUAAAGCUCUUUUACCCGGGAUGAUAAUGACAGUACCGGGAGAAUAAGCUCCGGCUAACUCCGUG